GAAGUGGCCGUGGGUUCCCAUUCUGACACAUGAGAGGGAAGAGAAGCUGACACUGCCUCUCCCUCACUUCCUGCCUAGAAUGUGGAAGUGAUGCUCAGUGCAAACCAAGUUAUGAAAGAGCAGAGGGAGCAGAAAGGGAAGAGUCUCUUCACAGAGAAGAUCAGAGAGACCAGGAGGAGGCCACAUGGCCUCUGAGAGAAGCCGGGGUGAGACCGAGGCCUGGAGCAGCCCAGACUUGUCACGCCAUCUUCUGGAACAUCACCCUGACUCCCCAAACCCUGAGCUCCAGCCCGAGUAUCUUGCGACUCCGUUACCUGCCGUCACGGUCGGAGGUGCCUGUUCUGGCCAAGGUGUUCCGUGCGCCCGACAAGACUGUUUGAACUAGGUUGGCAUCUGUCACGGUACAAAGCGUCCCUCCCGUUCUGGCCUGCCCCACACGGAGCUCCUACUUCCCUCCAGGGCCCAGGUCAAGCUGUCGCCUGCUCUGAGAAACUGCCUGAUCCCCACUCAGACCCGAGCUCAGUUGCACAUGGCUCCACUAUCAGUUCUCACGCUG
RNAcentral lists this long non-coding RNA (556 nucleotides) under Heterocephalus glaber (naked mole-rat). RNAcentral's name for it is "lncRNA (ENSHGLG00100042987.1)". Lineage: Eukaryota; Metazoa; Chordata; Mammalia; Rodentia; Bathyergidae. The record is from RNAcentral.